This 678-nucleotide long non-coding RNA is filed under the name Triticum aestivum (bread wheat). Its description in RNAcentral is "long non-coding RNA (TAES_LNC009988)". Lineage: Eukaryota; Viridiplantae; Streptophyta; Magnoliopsida; Poales; Poaceae. The record is from RNAcentral.
UUGGAUCAGUCAAAAGAUAAGCAAUAAGAAGCUGGUCUUCAAAGUGAAAAUCACCACAAACACGUCAGCAUAAAGACCAGUUUCUUUUUGCUUGCUUUGCAGAGACAAGAUCCUGGCAAGAUUCAGAUCUGACCAAAGAUGGAUUCAGAAUUCAGAUGCAUGGAUAGAAGAAAACAAAAAUAAAAAAGGUCAUGUUCAACCUCAGUACCCAGCUGUUGAUUUGAGCAGGUAAAGUCUCCUAUCACCCAGAGGUGCUGAAAUGGCAGGUGUAGAAGGUCACCACCAAACUCUAUUUACACCCUGGGUACAGAGCAACGGGGGGGUCACCAUAUGGGGUUGCUACGGUUUCAGAGGUCCUCUUAGUUUCUCAGCUUUCUAAGCUAACAGCAGAUUGAUGCGGGCACCGCAUGAUCCGCCAUGCUGGUUAAAUGUUCAUGUCCCAAGCAAAAAAGAUCCAGCCUGAUCACCCUCCAGCAGUUAUCAUCCAGUAGAGUUGUUUUACCGUACAGACAUCGGUGGGCAAAGAAUCCCUAGGUAGUGCGAGAAGCUGAGCUAGCCCACCCUAGGUAGUGCGAGAAGCUGAGCUAGGCCACUCCAGAUCCCUGUACUUCAGGACAUCAACCUUGUCCAAGUCGUACGUCUGGCAUAUCCUUGAAAUAGUGUCGCAAUCCAGACCCU